This is a non-coding RNA of Macaca mulatta (Rhesus monkey), 1367 nucleotides long. NCBI's taxonomy places the organism in Eukaryota, Metazoa, Chordata, Mammalia, Primates, Cercopithecidae. The record is from RefSeq and is a predicted model, not a curated record.
CAAAACCUAAAAUAUCUACUAUCUGGUCCUUCACCAAAAAUGCACCGACUCCUGAUGCCUGGAGCCACAGGUGCUACAGGAGGGAGAACGCCUACCUUCUUUCUGCUUCAUAAAGUUAAAGCGAGGACGAAUUAAUUAGCUGGAGAAAUGAUUUGGAUAUAGAGGAAGAAUCAAAGACAACUGAAAAAAAGGAAAGAUUUUAAGGCCCAGACCAGACCCAAUUAUACGGGACCCCCGAGGCUUAAAGAUAUGGACAAAUGUUAAGUCUGACACCGGUAUGUCACAAAAGCUCACUAAACCUCAGCUCCUUCCCGACAGCCGGGAACGGGCAGAGACCUGACCACGGCGCCAGCCGGGAACGCGCAGAGACCGGACCAAGGCCCCAGCCGGGAACGCGCAGAGACCGGACCACGGCGCCACCCGGGAACGCCCACAGACCGGACCACGGCGCCACCCGGGAACGCCCACAGACCGGACCACGGCGCCAGCCGGGAAGGCCCAGAGACCGGACCAGGGUGCCAGCCGGAAACGCGCAGAGACCGGACCACGGCGCCAGCCGGGAAGGCCCAGAGACCGGACCAGGGUGCCAGCCGGAAACGCGCAGAGACCGGACCACGGCGCCAGCCGGGAACGCCCACAGACCGGACCACCGCGCAAGCCGGAAACGCCCAGAGACCGGACCACAGCGCCAGUGAAAAUAUUUUAGCAUAAUUUUCUUCUAUAGACUGCAAGCCCAAUGGAGUUGCUGAGAGCAUAGCGCAGGAUCCUCUCCUCCUGGUUGUACAGGACGAACACGCUGUCCACCGAGAGCUGCUGGGUGCUGGGCAGGGCUGGGCGGGAGUCAUCGUGGACGCAUUCCUGGAAGGUGAUUGUCUGGCGCCACUGGUAAGUGUAGACGCGGGAAGGAGCUGCCCCCUCUCGCUCCGGCUCCGUCACUGUGUACUCCCGGGUGGAGGAGGAAGUGAUCACUGCAGAGUGGGAAGGAGGGAGGGGACAAGGCAGGAAGACAAAGGGAAGAUGGUUAAGGAUGCAAGAAGCUGAAUCAAGGGCUUUGAAAGCACCAAUGGCAUUCCCUGCCCAUAAGGCUACCAGACGACAGAUCAGACAGAACAGCUUAAAUAAGACCAUUUGUUUGUACUCGGUCUGAGUCUAUGAAAUACCUGGAUUUCCCAAAUGAUCAUUGGCAUCAUUCAUAUUAUGUAUAUUUGUUGCUUUUCUCAUCAAUUGGUUCUCAGUAAGUUUUGAAAACUCCCAGAACUGGAGAUGAAGUUCAGGUGGAGAGGACACACACUUGGAAAGAGAUGCCCCUGAAUUCACACUUAGUACCACUCACAAGCUGUGUGGCCACUGGCUGGUGACUCAACAUC